CAUACAGGGGGAGUAACAGUUAGAAAUGACUGCUAAUACCGCAUAAGCGCACAGUGCUGCAUGGCACAGUGUGAAAAACUCCGGUGGUAUGAGAUGGACCCGCGUCUGAUUAGCUAGUUGGUGGGGUAACGGCCUACCAAGGCGACGAUCAGUAGCCGGCCUGAGAGGGUGAACGGCCACAUUGGGACUGAGACACGGCCCAAACUCCUACGGGAGGCAGCAUG
Molecule: ribosomal RNA, 224 nt
Filed under: uncultured bacterium
Lineage: Bacteria
Description: partial 16S ribosomal RNA
Rfam family: Bacterial small subunit ribosomal RNA
Source: RNAcentral